UCAACCAGUUACACAGGCCGAUGCUGCAUGCCAAACAGAACUAGAAUCUCGAGGAAACCUGGUUAUCCUCCUGUCAGCGACAAAUGGGUCUGAGGUAUCAACUCAAGUUUCUCACAUUAACAAUGUGACAAGGUCACUGGGACUGAUGGAAGCUGGAAGAGGAAAUGUGAAUUCUUUGGAUUUGAGACACUUAAGCAAAAUGAGACUGCUUUGCGAGA
Non-coding RNA from Dermacentor andersoni, 218 nucleotides. The record is from RefSeq and is a predicted model, not a curated record. NCBI's taxonomy places the organism in Eukaryota, Metazoa, Arthropoda, Arachnida, Ixodida, Ixodidae.